UUAAGCGUAGGAAAGUGUUCAAGUGUGACUGCAAAACCUUAAGGUGAAGAUGUCCUGCAUCAUUCUGUUUCCAUUGCUGCUUCUCCUGUUCACCUCUGCCACUUUGUCUGAGGUCCAGCAGAAAAAGAAAGAAGUGCAGUCUAAGAAGACAGAGCAUUUGACUGUAGAGGAAAGCAGUGCUCUUUUGGCCUCUGGUGACUUUCAGCACAUUUUCGCAUGGAUCCACUCUGAGCUGGUAGAGCUGAGAUCCACUGUGUGUACUCUGAAGAACACACUGCAGGUCACAGAGGAAAAGCUGGGGCAGCUCAAGGGAAAAGAAUAUAAAGUGGCAUUUGCUGUCUCACUUGGAGCCGUGGGGUAACGUCGGACCUUUCACCACUGAUAUAACUCUGGUUUACAAAGAAGUCUUUGUGAAUGAAGGAAGAGCUUACAACAGUGCUACUGGUAUCUUCACAGCACCUGUUAAUGGCGUCUAUUUCUUCACUUUCUCUGGACAUAACCACUCAUCUAAACCUAUGGGUCUAGGACUCUUUAAAAAUGGAAAACAGAUGAUAACUGUUUACAAUCAUCCUCAAGGUGACCACCAUGAAACAGCAUCUAAUUCAAUCUCUUUGACUCUAGCGGAAGGAGAUCAUGUCUAUAUGCACCUCGUGAAAAAUACAGGGGUUUUUGAUAAUGAAAAUGACCACACUACGUUUACUGGCCAAUUACUUUUUUCUCUUUGAAGGUCCUAUUAAAUUCAUGAAGUUCAAUAUACUUCUCAAGUCUCAUCUGCAGGUGUUUAAUUGACUUUUUUAAAUCCUGAUUCA
Long non-coding RNA from Labeo rohita (rohu), 809 nucleotides. RefSeq lists it as uncharacterized. The record is from RefSeq and is a predicted model, not a curated record. The transcript is spliced from 3 exons. Lineage: Eukaryota; Metazoa; Chordata; Actinopteri; Cypriniformes; Cyprinidae.